Molecule: long non-coding RNA, 2492 nt
Organism: Onychostoma macrolepis
Lineage: Eukaryota; Metazoa; Chordata; Actinopteri; Cypriniformes; Cyprinidae
Exons: 5
Source: RefSeq, a predicted model, not a curated record
CUGCAACGUUGUAUGCACGUAAUUUCAUUACCAUAAUUUUUGUACGUUCUUUAUGCUCUCUGAUUACCAUAAUGCUAUUUAAAAAGUGUGAUUAAACUUCAGACACAAGAUUGAACGUUCCUUCUUAUAAAAUGUGUUUCUUUUCACCAAGUCAGAAUAUGGACGAUUGCUUUUAAUAUGCCUUUGUAUAGCCCUAUUAAUAAAUUCACAUCAAUUACACCCAUACAGCACUGUUAAAUAUGUUGAAAUAUAUUUUGAAAAUAUAUUUUAAAAAUACAUAAAACAAAGUUAAAAAAUUGUUCCUCACGAUACAUGUGUAAAUAUGUGUACGAAAAAAUAAAUUCCUAUGCCCUAGAUUUUAAUGAAUGUUUUUUCAAUGUUGUUUCUACACCACGUUUACCAUUUCUAAAGCUAUUAUAUUAUAUUAUAUUAUUUACGUAAAAUUCUGCGUGACUUCUACAUGCUUUAAUGGACGAGCGCGCGCUGAACAGGAGUGGAGGAAGUCACCAUGGAAACGGGGCGGCAGCUCAACUGUCAAGCAGCAACUUCGUCUUUCACUGUUGUUUUUACUAAUUUCAGAAGCGUCAGAAAAAACCCUCUAUUACACAGAAGUUCCUGAUUUUAACAUUUCUGAAGGGAGCUGCUGACAGAGAAAUACACAUCACAGAUUCUUCCAUGCUGAUGGCCGUGCACAAGAGUUAGAGCGUAUCUCCUGUCGAAGAACAUCUCUAGACAUUAUGAACCAUCUGUCUAAGACUGAAAAUCAUCAAUAAACCAAAAGUUUGGUUUAGCUCCAACCCCAAUUAAGCAGACCUGAGCAGCUGAGCAAGGAUCACCAGAAACUCUGCAGAAGGUUGGUCCUCCAUGCCCAGGACUGGACACCAGUGUUGUAAGUCAUCUAUCUAGAAGUCAUCCUGCCUCUCUGAAUUGUCAUGUUCAGAAUAGAUUGCAGGAGAUCUCAACAUUGUCUCUCAAGGUCCACUUACAUGCAGAGUUUUGCUCCAACAUAGUGCAGUGCACCCGAACAAACUAAUACAUUUUUCAGUUUUACUAACUAUAAAGUCACAAACAGGUGAGUGUGAUCAGGUGUGGACCUAAACUCUGGGUGUCAAUCACUCAGGUCCCUUGCUCAGUAGUCAGUGGUUAAGGGCUGUCUCAGUCACAAAAUUUAGUUUGCUCCCUAAAAAAAUAUGCAAUAUUUGACUCAUAUUCAAUGAUGCUAUUAUCUUUUUUCCCCUUUUGUUUGUGUGUCAAUCACAGCUAAAUAAAACCAAAGGCCAUUCAGCCACAGGUCACUGCAUCUUUUGCUGUGUAAGUUUUUUUUUUUUUUUUUUAAUGUCAAACACAUUUUCAGUAUUUAUAUUUGGUUUGGUUUGUAUAAUCAUUUUAGAGUCACCGUUUCUGUACGGUUCUUGUGUACUAUCCUUUUAACAUUUCAGCAGCUGACUUUUUUUAGUACUUGCAUAGUAAUUUUAAUUGUACCACAUUUGCAAUGCAUAUUGCAACCAAAGACUUAAACUACUUCAGUCUAUGUGCAUUUAAUUUAUUUAAUACACGAGUUUCACAAUUUGAGUUGAAUUACUGAAAUAAAUGAACUUUUCCACAACAUUCUAAUUUAUUGAGAUGCACCUGUAUAUAGCAGGGCUCCAGACUAACUUUUUAGAGCAGUGGCACCAGCGCCACUGAGUUCUACAGAUGGUGGCGCCAGAAGCAGAUUUGGUAAAGCUGGGGGUGGUGUGUGGGGGUAUUAAAAAUAAAGAUAAUUAAAUCAUAAAAUUAUUAUAAUUUUGCGUUAAUAAGUGUAGUUACUAGUAAUAUUACACAUUUAUUUCUUGGUAAUGCACAUUUGACAGUAAAGCACUGAGCUUGAAUUCGGAAGCACAAAAUUUACUUUUAUUAACAACAGUAACGUGCAAAAUGUAAGUUUUAUAUAGAAAAUUAACAUAUUCUACUCUUAUUAAAUGUACCAUUAUUUGUUUGUAGUAUUAUAUGGAACUGGCCAACAACUUCAGUUAUUAUAAAAGGAGCUCUCUUGCUUUGUGUGAUUCAGUCAGAGGAGUUUGUUUUUCAGUGUACUUUGUGACUUUUCUUACUUCAUACACAAAAAAGAGCAAAUAUUUUACAAAAUUUGAUUUCUUGAUGAUUUAAUAUUUUAUAAUAGUGAUUUUAUAAUUUCAAAAUAUAAAGUAAAAAGUACAAAUGAAUAACUAAUAAGCCUAUAAGUGUUCCUCUGCCACCAUCUACUGGUUAUAGUGGUAAUUUGAUGCCCCUUUUUUUAUUUUUUUUAUUUUACAAGUGUUUGUUUACCACAAAGUAUAUUUUGGUCAUUCCUUUAAAAAUAACAUUUUAAUUGUAUGCUUUUUAAAGUUUUAAAGUGCUGUAAAUAGUUGUGUGAAAUACUUAAAUGUGCUUGAAUUUCUCUCUCAAAAGGUUGUACAAACCCUAAAAUGCAUAAUGUAAUGAAAUUCAACUAUUUCUGCCACAACACCACG